GAUGAACGCUGGCGGCGUGCCUAAUACAUGCAAGUAGAACGCUGAAGGAGGAGCUUGCUCUUCUGGAAGAGUUGCGAACGGGUGAGUAACGCGUAGGUAACCUGCCUCUUAGCGGGGGAUAACUAUUGGAAACGAUAGCUAAUACCGCAUAAAAGUCGACAUUGCAUGAUGUUGACUUGAAAGGUGCAACUGCAUCACUAAGAGAUGGACCUGCGUUGUAUUAGCUAGUUGGUGAGGUAACGGCUCACCAAGGCGACGAUACAUAGCCGACCUGAGAGGGUGAUCGGCCACACUGGGACUGAGACACGGCCCAGACUCCUACGGGAGGCAGCAGUAGGGAAUCUUCGGCAAUGGGGGCAACCCUGACCGAGCAACGCCGCGUGAGUGAAGAAGGUUUUCGGAUCGUAAAGCUCUGUUGUAAGAGAAGAACGAGUGUGAGAGUGGAAAGUUCACGCUGUGACGGUAUCUUACCAGAAAGGGACGGCUAACUACGUGCCAGCAGCCGCGGUAAUACGUAGGUCCCGAGCGUUAUCCGGAUUUAUUGGGCGUAAAGCGAGCGCAGGCGGUUAGAUAAGUCUGAAGUUAAAGGCUGUGGCUUAACCAUAGUACGCUUUGGAAACUGUUUAACUUGAGUGCAGAAGGGGAGAGUGGAAUUCCAUGUGUAGCGGUGAAAUGCGUAGAUAUAUGGAGGAACACCGGUGGCGAAAGCGGCUCUCUGGUCUGUAAAUUGACGCUGAGGCUCGAAAGCGUGGGGGAGCAAACAGG
This 765-nucleotide ribosomal RNA is filed under the name uncultured Streptococcus sp. RNAcentral describes it as "bacterial SSU rRNA". It matches the Rfam family "Bacterial small subunit ribosomal RNA", at positions 28 to 776 of the family's 1533-position model. Lineage: Bacteria; Bacillati; Bacillota; Bacilli; Lactobacillales; Streptococcaceae. The record is from RNAcentral.